RNAcentral lists this long non-coding RNA (258 nucleotides) under Lathyrus oleraceus (garden pea). RNAcentral's name for it is "Pisum sativum (pea) long non-coding RNA (PSAT_LNC010651)". The record is from RNAcentral. Lineage: Eukaryota; Viridiplantae; Streptophyta; Magnoliopsida; Fabales; Fabaceae.
GUUGACCCUCUUUCGAAAUCUACACCCAAUCUUCAUGUUAGAUAUGCAGCUUCGAGAAUAUUCCACUUUUUGGGCUUCGUACAUAUUCUUCAGGCUAGAACAUGUUGUAACGACCCUUCAAUUAGACUUUUGUUUUCUAAAUUGCGAUCCGCGGGCUGGAUCCUCUUGUAGGUUGAUUUUCUGUUGAAUUGUCAAUCUAUCCCUCUGGCUGGCUUGCUGGGGAAAUAACGCUUGUAGGCGACUCUCUGGUUGAAUCUU